AGCGUUAUCCGGAUUUAUUGGGUUUAAAGGGUGCGUAGGCGGACUGAUAAGUCAGCUGUGAAAGUUUGCGGCUCAACCGUAAAAUUGCAGUUGAAACUGUUAGUCUUGAGUACAGUAGAGGUAGGCGGAAUUCGUGGUGUAGCGGUGAAAUGCUUAGAUAUCACGAAGAACUCCAAUUGCGAAGGCAGCUUUCUGGACUGUAACUGACGCUGAGGCACGAAAGUGUGGGUAUCAAACAGGAUUAGAUACCCUGGUAGUCCACACAGUAAACGAUGAAUACUCGCUGUUUGCGAUACACUGCAAGCGGCCUGGCGAAAGCAUUAAGUAUUCCACCUGGGGAG
This 341-nucleotide ribosomal RNA is filed under the name uncultured bacterium. RNAcentral describes it as "bacterial SSU rRNA". It matches the Rfam family "Bacterial small subunit ribosomal RNA", at positions 537 to 880 of the family's 1533-position model. The record is from RNAcentral.